GCCUGUUUAUCAAAAACAUAGCCUAUAACUUAACUUUAGGUACAACCCUGCCCUCUGAAAUUUUAACAGCCGCGGUAUCCUAACCGUGCUAAGGUAGCAUAAUCAUUUGCCUAUUAAUUAUAGGCUAGCAUGAACGGGAUCACUCACUUAAAUUUAUUUUCACUACAAUUAAAAUUAAACUUUAAGUUAAAAUACUAAAUUUUUAAGAAAGACAAAAAGACCCUGAAAACUAUUAGAAGAUAAUUAGUUGGGGCAACUAUAGACCAUAAACAGCGUCUAUUAAAAUUCGAAUUUUAAAAUUCAAAGCACACAGUUACUUCAGGGAUAACAGACUAAUUGUAUUAUUUAGACCUAAUAAAUAAUAAAGAUUGGCACCUCGAUGUUGGCUUAUAAUUCCUUCAUAUAGUAACAUAUAUUGAUGGCAGCUUGUUCAUCUGAUAAAUAUUUACAUGAGCUGAGUUCAGACCGGCGUAAGC
RNAcentral lists this ribosomal RNA (476 nucleotides) under Stygocapitella sp. 169_30. RNAcentral's name for it is "partial large subunit ribosomal RNA". It matches the Rfam family "Bacterial large subunit ribosomal RNA", at positions 1798 to 2626 of the family's 2925-position model. RNAcentral also lists the same sequence under 2 other names. Lineage: Eukaryota; Metazoa; Annelida; Polychaeta; Parergodrilidae. The record is from RNAcentral.